UGCCUUCUUGCCUUCUCGGAGCGGCCCCCAGUUCUCCACCCCGUCGGAGAGGAACGAAGAGCGAGCUCUCUUACAAAUACAAUUGGGGGGGCAGGCGGCUCGCAAAACCCGGGCUGGACUUCCAGCGCCAACUGCCCCUUCUCCGCGCUGCCAGGAGAGAAGAGGAGGGAGGGAAGGGAAGGGAAAGGCAAGGAAUGGACUCGUUUCCCCAAAGGCAGGGAACUCUAAGACAAAGGACAAGAAAGUCGCCUUCUAUCUAUUGGGCCAAAAGAUGCAACAAGUCCCAUGUCAAAACAAAAACAUCCGAGUUUCAUCUGUCAGAACCAUGACAUCCCACUUGGGAAGAAACCUCCCAUCUUCUCAGGCCUAAAACCAAUGCACUCUGAGGACUAUUUCUCAAUUUUUUUGACCCGCAUUUGGAUGGGGAUAAUGUUAUUGGAGAACUCCGCCGAGAUAAAGUCAUGAUCCACCAGGUGGGUCAAUGAAGUACCUCAACUGAAAGCCAAAUGCUUGCCUUUUUUCCCACUCUUUUCAAAGAUUUUCUGCAUAACCCAAGUAGGGGUUCUGUUAAAGAACAGCAAACCUUCUCUAUAAUAAAUUAACAAC
Molecule: long non-coding RNA, 606 nt
Organism: Crotalus tigris (Tiger rattlesnake)
Lineage: Eukaryota; Metazoa; Chordata; Lepidosauria; Squamata; Viperidae
Exons: 3
Source: RefSeq, a predicted model, not a curated record